Molecule: ribosomal RNA, 468 nt
Filed under: uncultured bacterium
Lineage: Bacteria
Description: partial 16S ribosomal RNA
Rfam family: Bacterial small subunit ribosomal RNA
Source: RNAcentral
GACGAACGCUGGCGGCGUGCUUAACACAUGCAAGUCGAACGGAAAGGCCCUGCUUUUGUGGGGUGCUCGAGUGGCGAACGGGUGAGUAACACGUGAGUAACCUGCCCUUGACUUUGGGAUAACUUCAGGACACUGGGGCUAAUACCGGAUAGGAGCUCCUGCUGCAUGGUGGGGGUUGGAAAGUUUCGGCGGUUGGGGAUGGACUCGCGGCUUAUCAGCUUGUUGGUGGGGUAGUGGCUUACCAAGGCUUUGACGGGUAGCCGGCCUGAGAGGGUGACCGGCCACAUUGGGAAUGAGAUACGGCCCAGACUCCGACGGGAGGCAGCAGUGGGGAAUAUUGCACAAUGGGCGGAAGCCUGAUGCAGCAACGCAGCGUGCGGGAUGAAGGCCUUCGGGUUGUAAGCCGCUUUCGCCUGUGACGAAGCGUGAGUGACGGUAAUAGGUAAAGAAGCACCGGCUAGCUACGUG